Long non-coding RNA from Panicum hallii, 457 nucleotides. RefSeq lists it as uncharacterized. The record is from RefSeq and is a predicted model, not a curated record. NCBI's taxonomy places the organism in Eukaryota, Viridiplantae, Streptophyta, Magnoliopsida, Poales, Poaceae. The transcript is spliced from 3 exons.
CGCUUCUCUCUCCCGCGCCUGUUGGGCGAGCAGAAGCUGCUUCUGCUCGCCACGUCGCGCGCCUCACUGGCCGGCGAAGCCCCGAGCAAGCGAAAUCCCACCCAUUCCCUCGCUCCGCUUCUCCUUUUAAGCCCGUUCACAGCCUCCCCAAGCCCUAGCCGCAUUUUCCCCAUCUCCACCAUUGCCGCCGCCACCUCCUUUCUUCCCCAACUCCGGCCGCCGUCGAUUCGCCCUCUCCGGGGUUCCCGACGAGCUCCUCCCGUCGCCGCCGUCGUUGCCUUGGAGAACCCCCGCCGCCGUCUCAUCGCGCCUCCGCCUAUCACUGCGACCGAACCGCUGGAGAACGAAACUGCCGAGCCCGUUGAAGUUGUCAAACCUGAGCCCGCUGUCGAGUACGUGGUUGAACUGGAAGAAAAUCAAGGCAAGCAGCUAAGCAUGAUAUUUUUUUUACCCGCCU